This 83-nucleotide ribosomal RNA is filed under the name Acinetobacter baumannii. Its description in RNAcentral is "partial 16S ribosomal RNA". It matches the Rfam family "Bacterial small subunit ribosomal RNA", at positions 1451 to 1533 of the family's 1533-position model. RNAcentral also lists the same sequence under 80 other names. Lineage: Bacteria; Pseudomonadati; Pseudomonadota; Gammaproteobacteria; Moraxellales; Moraxellaceae. The record is from RNAcentral.
CGCUUACCACUUUGUGAUUCAUGACUGGGGUGAAGUCGUAACAAGGUAACCGUAGGGGAACCUGCGGUUGGAUCACCUCCUUA